GGGCGGUUAGUUCAGUUGGCUAGAACGGUUGAUUUACAUUCAACAGGCCACAGGUUCGAGUCCUGUACCGCCCACCA
This 77-nucleotide transfer RNA is filed under the name Candidatus Omnitrophota bacterium. RNAcentral's name for it is "tRNA-Val". It matches the Rfam family "tRNA". Rfam says of the family: Transfer RNA (tRNA) molecules are approximately 80 nucleotides in length. Their secondary structure includes four short double-helical elements and three loops (D, anti-codon, and T loops). Further hydrogen bonds mediate the characteristic L-shaped molecular structure. tRNAs have two regions of fundamental functional importance: the anti-codon, which is responsible for specific mRNA codon recognition, and the 3' end, to which the tRNAs corresponding amino acid is attached (by aminoacyl-tRNA synthetases). tRNAs cope with the degeneracy of the genetic code in two manners: having more than one tRNA (with a specific anti-codon) for a particular amino acid; and 'wobble' base-pairing, i.e. permitting non-standard base-pairing at the 3rd anti-codon position. Lineage: Bacteria; Pseudomonadati; Candidatus Omnitrophota. The record is from RNAcentral.